This 1227-nucleotide long non-coding RNA is filed under the name Anser cygnoides (Swan goose). RNAcentral's name for it is "lncRNA (ENSACDG00005000476.1)". Lineage: Eukaryota; Metazoa; Chordata; Aves; Anseriformes; Anatidae. The record is from RNAcentral.
CGCUGCGGGAGCGGCUGCGGAGCCGAGCGGGGGGAAGGAGCCGCGCGUCCCCCGGCCGGGGCUGCGGCGGGGCGCGGGGCGCUGCGGCCCGGGAGCGCCUCCUUCGAAACUCGCGGAGCCGGGGAGCGAGGGGAGGCAGGGCGCACGGCAGCCACGCGUGUCGCGCCGCCCCGGGUGGCGGCGGCAGAGCCGAGGGCCGCCCCGGCAGCGGUCAGAGUAACAGCCAGCACCGGGAACACGCGUGGGGAAGGGGCGAGCCGCCAGCCCCAGCCCCAGCCCGCCGCUGCGCUUCCCUCUGCUUCCCGCCGAGCGGAGAGGGAAAGAAGGAGAGCAGGAGGCACUCACCGCUCCGACCGCACCAGCCGAGGGGCAGCGCGCCGCGCCGCGUUGUGCCGUGCCUCCCCGUGCGGUGCCCUGCCUCCCGCCCCGCCUGCCAGCCCGGGCGGCCGCGCUCGCUCCCGCGCCCCCUCCUCCCCUCUCCCCCGCCCGCUCCGCCCUUCCCCUCCCCGUCCCUCCCCUCCCGCCGCUCUGCGCACGCGCCGUUCCCNNNNNNNNNNNNNNNNNNNNNGGGGCGCCCAUUGUGACGCCGGCGGUGACCUCACGCGCCAGGGGCCGGCCCGCACCUGCCUCCCGCCGCGGGGGCGGGGCCUCCCCGGCCGCUUUCCCGCCGGCGCGCCGGGAGCGGGGGCUGGGGGCCGGGUGCGGGGUCCCCGCGGGGCAGGGCAGGGCAGGGCAGGGCAGGGCGCUCCGCCCGGCCUCGUGUCACCCGGAGCACCUGGCGCCGGCUCUGUCGGCUUUGCAGCUCCGCGGCAAUCCCGUGCCGCCGCCUCCCCCGGCGCUGCGGAGCGGGUCCCUUCGGGCACGGAGCGCACGCAGCGGGAUCUCGCACCAGGAAGUCUCCGGCGCGGCCUAGACCCCUCCGUGACAUUCCUUCCAGCCCAGUGCCAUCUAGUACAGCAUUUAAAUCUCCACGUGGGAACGAGGUCGUGUUUUCAAGGAGCAUCCCUGCAGGUAAGGAGCAACGUGCUGCCUCUCAGCACCCAGCUGAACCAAACCGAUCCCGUGGUGCCCACGGAUGGCUACGCGCCCUUACCCUGCUGGCUCACAGGAGGCUUUGAUUGCCCACAAGCCAGGGCCAGAGGACUGCUCGGGUAUUUAUUUCCCAGCUUUAUGUCCCACACAGACCCCACAGCACAGCGGAACUCACAGGCGUGUAACUCACAAUAA